This 435-nucleotide ribosomal RNA is filed under the name uncultured bacterium. RNAcentral's name for it is "partial 16S ribosomal RNA". It matches the Rfam family "Bacterial small subunit ribosomal RNA", at positions 29 to 507 of the family's 1533-position model. The record is from RNAcentral.
AGCGAACGCUGGCGGCAGGCUUAACACAUGCAAGUCGAGCGGGCAUCUUCGGAUGUCAGCGGCAGACGGGUGAGUAACACGUGGGAACGUACCCUUCGGUUCGGAACAACUCUGGGAAACUGGAGCUAAUACCGGAUACGCCCUUAUGGGGAAAGGUUUACUGCCGAAGGAUCGGCCCGCGUCUGAUUAGCUAUUUGGUGGGGUAACGGCCUACCAAGGCGACGAUCAGUAGCUGGUCUGAGAGGAUGAUCAGCCACACUGGGACUGAGACACGGCCCAGACUCCUACGGGAGGCAGCAGUGGGGAAUAUUGGACAAUGGGCGCAAGCCUGAUCCAGCCAUGCCGCGUGAGUGAUGAAGGCCUUAGGGUUGUAAAGCUCUUUUGUCCGGGACGAUAAUGACGGUACCGGAAGAAUAAGCCCCGGCUAACUUCGUG